RNAcentral lists this ribosomal RNA (492 nucleotides) under uncultured bacterium. RNAcentral describes it as "partial 16S ribosomal RNA". It matches the Rfam family "Bacterial small subunit ribosomal RNA", at positions 29 to 507 of the family's 1533-position model. The record is from RNAcentral.
AGUGAACGCUGGCGGUAGGCCUAACACAUGCAAGUCGAACGGCAGCACAGUAAGAGCUUGCUCUUACGGGUGGCGAGUGGCGGAUGGGUGAGGAAUACAUCGGAAUCUACUUUUUCGUGGGGGAUAACGUAGGGAAACUUACGCUAAUACCGCAUACGACCUACGGGUGAAAGCAGGGGAUCUUCGGACCUUGCGCGAUUGAAUGAGCCGAUGUCGGAUUAGCUAGUUGGCGGGGUAAAGGCCCACCAAGGCGACGAUCCGUAGCUGGUCUGAGAGGAUGAUCAGCCACACUGGAACUGAGACACGGUCCAGACUCCUACGGGAGGCAGCAGUGGGGAAUAUUGGACAAUGGGCGAAAGCCUGAUCCAGCCAUACCGCGUGGGUGAAGAAGGCCUUCGGGUUGUAAAGCCCUUUUGUUGGGAAAGAAAAGCAGCAGGUUAAUACCCCGCUGUUCUGACGGUACCCAAAGAAUAAGCACCGGCUAACUUCGUG